Long non-coding RNA from Sander lucioperca (pikeperch), 100 nucleotides. RefSeq lists it as uncharacterized. The transcript is spliced from 3 exons. The record is from RefSeq and is a predicted model, not a curated record. NCBI's taxonomy places the organism in Eukaryota, Metazoa, Chordata, Actinopteri, Perciformes, Percidae.
AGCUGCCACCAGCAGCUGGUUAGCUUAGCUUGGCAUAAAGACUGGAAACUUGGGGAAACGGCUAGCCUAGCUCUGUCCAGAGUGGUAACGAAAUCUGCUU